UGCUUGCUUUGCAGGGAAUAUAUUAAAAUUGGAACAAUACAAAGAAGAUUGACAUGGCCUCUGUGAAAAGAUGAUACACAAAUUUGUGAAGAAUUCCAUGUUUUU
Small nuclear RNA from Acomys russatus (golden spiny mouse), 105 nucleotides. The record is from RefSeq and is a predicted model, not a curated record. NCBI's taxonomy places the organism in Eukaryota, Metazoa, Chordata, Mammalia, Rodentia, Muridae.